RNAcentral lists this long non-coding RNA (8835 nucleotides) under Populus tremula. Its description in RNAcentral is "long non-coding RNA (PTRE_LNC002406)". The record is from RNAcentral. Lineage: Eukaryota; Viridiplantae; Streptophyta; Magnoliopsida; Malpighiales; Salicaceae.
UGGGACCAUUGUUAAAGGAUAUUUUGCAUGGACAUUUGCUGACGAUUUUGAAUGGCCGAAUGGUUAUACCAUAAGAUUUGGUCUCUACUACACUGAUUACCAGCAUAACUUGCAUAGAUACCCUAAGAGGUCAGUGCACUGGUUCACAAAUUUUUUGAAGGGAUACAAGUGGAACAAGGAACCAAUGUCGAGCUCUCCACUGCGUUUCUACAGUUCUUCUCCAAGUGAUCAUCAGUACCUGGAUGAGUGAAAAGUCAUUUUUAAAUAAUAACCUGGAUUGCAUAUCCAGAGAAUUAUAAGUUUGUGUUUAAUUAUUGUGCUUGUGUUUGAUGCUUCCAGCAUGGACUAGGAAUUAUCUCUUACCUAGUUUACCAUGAUUGGAUUAAAAAUGUGAUGAGACUUAUAAUUAAAUAAAGCUUUAUGUUUACUUAUUGUCUAGAUCCUGUUUUCCCCUUUUUACAUCGAUCCUUUGGUAUGUAUAAGAAAAACGUUUGCUUCGUAUUAAUGCAUGUUCAAAUAUUUAUCAAAUUAUAUAUAUACAAGAAAAUCAUCAGGCUAAUGUUAGAAUUGUUAGACAGUGAGAAUUCAAGACGAACACAAUCAAUGGUAUAAGAUGAAACAGAAAUCAACUUUGAAUUCUAUUUUAUUUGAUCUUAAGGUGUCCUUAUUUAACACCAUUCUUGCAAAACAUAUAUGAAUCACACACUUGUAGAAUUGGUCAAGAAAGCUUGGGAUUUCCUCUCAUAGUAAUAGUUAUUAGAGGAAGAAGCAUCAGCUGAGAAGAUCAUCACUCCAUUGACAUCAAAUCCAUUUGCCUCCAGCAGAUUUAAAGCAUCAAAAAAUGCGUCUCCUUGAAUGCCCCUUCCAUUCACUUCAUAGCUAGGUAACAAUUUAUCCUUAUCGAAUUGCAUCAAUGGCAAAACCAAGUAUGAAAUGGAAGUCGAUGUUGUCUUCAACUGGAACAGGAUUGAAUGUCACGGGUGGCACCAAUGUACUCCAUCAUCACCUUCGCAUCUGAUCAGAGUUAGAAUAACAAUGUAUAAAUCAAGAGUUUGUGGAUUUCAGCCGAUAUAGAUUUCUUUCCAGAGGUGGAGAAAUACUCUUGAUGAUCAUUUCCUGUUUUCUUGUAGAAAAUCAAUUAUACAAAUAAAAAUAAUAGAUGAAAACUCCUGGCCCAAUCAAUAUAAAUAACCUUUGAUCUUAAAGGAAAUACUGGAUUCUAAAGCCCUCUUAUUUCUUUCUUUUUUUAACAAAGAAAAACACGUCGAAGGAGCAGACUGCGUAGGGCCAAUUUUUCCUUUUAUUGCGAAAAUCAAAGGGAAAUAGAUGCACAGUUUGAUGUCCUACAGAAAUCGUAAAAUUUCUAUUGUUUUGACAUAAUCAUAUCUUUGAAUAUCUUGAAAUCCCAAAGAAAAAAAACAAUUAUAUAAAAGCAAGUAUAUAAUCAACAAAUGAAACCGACCUCAUGGUUUUCUGCUGUUUGUGUGAUUAAUUGUGCAGGUCAAAGGAUUAGUACUGCAUGUUAACUUAUAUAAUAAACUGACAGUAAAUUAAUCUAUUUUUGCGACACUUUCAAGGCAUCAUUGCAGAUUUCUUGUAGAAAAUUAAUCUAUUUUUGCGACACUUUUACUUUUUAAGAGCAUAUUUGCACCACAUUCUCUUAAAUUUUGAAUUUUUUUUGUUAAAAAUUAUUUUUUUUUGUUUUCAGAUUGUUUUGAUGUGCUAAUAUCAAAAAUAAUUUUUUUAAAAUAAUAAUAAAAACAUUAUUUUGAUGCAUUUAUAAGCGAAAAACACUUUGAAUCACAAUCACUACCACAAUCCCAAACAGGUCACCACAAUCCCAAGUUGGGUCAUGACGCAUUUGCGCCUAACUCCACAUUGAGCCAAGAAGCGUCUGCGCCUAACUUCAAGUUAGACCAUGAAAAGUCCGCGCCCAACUCCACCCCGGGUCAGGACACGUCCAAGCCCAACUUCAAGAUGAGCCAUGAUUUGUUCCCACCCGACCACUCUUGGGAUCAGCACGCAAACUAAAAUUAACUCCUCUCGGGUUCAACAUAUAGCUAGAAAGUAACCCCACACUGAGUCUCCCAUGCUCCGGGCCUAGGCUACUAAUUAUGAUACCCAUCACAUCUUAUUAAUUAAUUAUAAAUAAAUAGUUCAUGCUUAUAUUAAUGAGAUGUGAUGGCACAAACAAUAAAAUAAUAUUAUUUUUACAAGAUUACAUUUCUACCUCUCACAUAUUAUAUGAAACAAGUCAAGUUAGGUAAUAUAAAAGGAAGCUUGAGUACACAGAAAAAAUAUUCGAAACCUUAUACUCAUAAACAUAAACACAUUCCUUCUUGAUAAGGGAGAAUUUCAUGAUUCUCCAUAACAUACGCUGCUAUCCCUUCUGUUACUGUAAUAUCGCUAAUAUAUAGCUGUAGGAUAAUUACGCAAUUAAUUGUAUCCUCAUCCUUCCUAUUUUAUAACAAUGUAUAGUUGUCGUAUGUUAAUAUAUAAUGAAUACACUUCUCCUCAUUAGGUUAAGGAGACAUUCAACCAUUCUAUUGUCUUGUAAACAUCUUUACUUCUUCUUCUUCCCUAACUUCUAUAUUUUCUUCUCCUUCUUCUUAUAUAUCUUCAUAAAAGCUUAUUAAUACCUUCAUUCCUAUCUUUUUGCCACAUAAAAAUAUAUCGUGUUGACUUGAUCUUCGAAGGGUCCCCCGGACAUUGUGUAGGUAUUCACUUAAGAGAAAAUUUACAACCUCUGAAGAAAUUCAUUAAAAGAGAAGUCAAUGUAAUUUAAAAAUGAAGGUCGUAGGACACAUUAUGAAUGAUCUAUAGGUGUUCUCAGAAAAAAUUCCUUCAAGAAUAUUCCUUUCAAUUUUCAAGGCAUAGAAGAUUUAUUUGAAAAUUGGGAUUUGAGUUGAUUUAUCCGGUGGUUAAUUUAGUAAAAUAAAUAUUUUUUAUGGUUAAAAGACUUGAUUUUAAUUAGAUUUCUUUAUAAUGAGAGGUUUGAAAUUGGAAUCUCUUAGAGAAAAAAAGAGACUAGUACUUGUUGAAUUACUACUCAUUGGCGUUAAUUAAAUUUCUUUUUUUAAUCCACAAUUAAACACUUUUUAAUUGUUAACUUGGAAGUUCUUCGAAGAGUUCAAGUAAUUCUGUGUUUCAAAAUAUUCUAUGGUGAAUAAAGGAUAAAAACCGAUCAACAACACUCUCUACAAAUCAACAUAAACCUUCGGUUAGGAUCUAAAUUUAUCCUUCAGUCAUUUUUGAGAUGGAAAAAGCUGAUGAUCUUGUUAUCUUUAUUGCUUUAGGGAUGAGUAUGUAUAUCAUCACUCAUUUAUUGCUCUUCUUUAUUGCUGUGCAAGCAACUUUCUGAUCCGUGCUUGUUUAAAGCUCGCAAUCCAAUCUAUAUCUUUCCUUUUCCCUAUCGGAUCACCUUUAGUGGUUGAUCUGGUUAGCUUUCACGCGUACAGUUUCCAUUUAGACAUAUACAGCAAGAAAGAGGAAUCCCCCAGUCCCAUUUUUCUCUCCUCUGGCCUCCCGUAAAAGCCAUAUUCUUAGGGUUCUUGGACUGAAUUCUGCAAGCCCUCUUCGAGAGCACCGAGGGACGGGUGGAUACAAGUUUUCCAAAGGAAAUGGACCCUUCCGAAAAACACAUUCAGAGAGCAUGCAUAAUGCUUGGCUUCCUUUUCAAUGACUCCCCCCACUACUACGUACGUACAAUCAUAAUCCUGCUUUUUCUUCGAUGAUAAACCCGGGUUCAUGUAUGCGUGCAAUGCAUGCAGAGCCAUAUAAAGCGAUCCUCCUCCCCCUUUUGAUCAUGUAUGAUUUUAUUUUCUAUUAUUUCUUAGAAGAUAUUGAUGUACAGAUCUGCAGAUUAUAGCUACCAGUUUUCAGAAGAUAUUGUUUUUCUUGUAAGAACUUAAAAUCAACUGUUUUUAAGGAUUUCCAAACUGAUGCAUGGAGUUGGGAUCGUCGUAAACACCAGGGAUCAAUUUGUUCAACUCAUCUUCUUCCAAAACAAUUUAGUCGAUUCCUGCGCUCACAAUUAAUGGACAAUAUUUUAUACUACGCAAAAACUAAAAAAUCAUCAUCAAAGCAAGUUUAGCGUAUGCUUUGAGUAUAUGAUAGCUUUUUUUGAAGUAAACUAGGAUUUAAAAUGGAUAUAGAAGUGUUAAUUACCAAUGCUUUAAAUCUUGAGGGAUCUAGUGCUUCACAUUUCAGGGUAUAUCAUCUGUUUGGCUGAUCGUCAGAAUGUUCAUGGAUAUCCAUGCAGAUGCAAUCUUUUGGCGUUUUAAUGCAAUACUUUAGUUAUCAAAAAAAUAAAUAAAUACCAAAAGCUACUUUUUUAAAUUAAAUUGUUGUCGCCCCACCAAAAAAAGUUUUGGCCACCCAAGAAAAGCAAUUCAGGAAAAGGCCGUAUAUAUCAAAGAAAACAUGAAUGCACAUUUCACGUGUAGAUUAUAAUCUCCACUGUUAGAGCCUCUAUAUAAAGGGUUUGAUCAUAAGAACUUAAACCACAAAGCCUUUGAACAAUAAUCACACUUAGCAGAAAUGGCUAUCAGAGAGAUGUCUCUUCUUUUAGGGUUCUUAGUGUUGCUUAGCUCAUUGGCUCCUACCAUGCCAAUGACAUAUGUUAACUGCACAAUCCCAUAUGAUCCUGCAUUUUAGCAGAAAUUCCUUCCCAGAUGGCUUUGUUUUUGGGACUGGCUCAGCUGCCUACCAGGUAGCUAGAAUAUAUGAACUUAUCCUUCAUGGGAUCCAGUCCUGGCAAUAUGUUUUGUUUGUUACUAUAUAUAUAGUUUAUAUUUUAAUCUUGAUUUCUUCAUGCAUGUUUGUUACUAUAGAGUUUAUAUUUUAAUCUUGAUUUCUCUCUUUUUUUAUAUGUAGUUUUAUUCCUAUAUAGGUCAGUGUUGAUGGUCGAAUCUUAUGACAGUAGAGGAAGAAACUAUACAUCGAUCCCUUUUUUAAAGGGCGGGCAUGGAAUGUAUAGUUCCUCUCAAUCAUAAUAUUCAGAAAAACAUCUGUGUAUUUCUAGAUAAAUCAAAGAUAAUACUCAUAUAUUAAGGAGAUUAAGAUAUCCUCUAAAGCAUUACAAGCUAGCUUGCAUCUAUACGUUAUUACUUUAUUUAUUUGUAUAAUAAUAAAAAUAUAAUUUAUUUAUUAUUCUAUGUUAUUUGUCUAAUUAUUUCUCUAUCCUCAUUUGAAUGAUAAAUUAAAUUUCUCUUUUUCCCUCUAUCAUUAGGUCUGAAAAAAAGAGAGAGAAAAAAUGGUAUGGAAAAGAGAGUGUUCAUUCAGCUUAAAAUGUGGACUAAACACAUGCCUAAUAAUGAAUAAAUCAUUGUAUUAUUACUCUUAUUAACUUUUGGUCCACUGGAAGCUCCAUCAAGGCCUUCGGCUAUGGUGGGAGUUGCCUUCUUCAGAUCUAAUCCCACCCCUUCAAGGGUCCAAAACCUUAAAUUCUUUAAGUGGUGAGGAGUUUGCUAGUAAUUUAUGAUUAAAUGACAAUGUAGGAUUUGAUCUUCUUACUGAUGAUCAGGUCAGAGAAUAUUCUGUAAUAUCUAAUAAUUAUACAGAUCAAAUAGUUAUUGAUCAAUUAAUCCAAAAUUUUCUUCAUAAAAAAAACCCCAAAAUUUAAGAUUUGAGGUAAAUUAGCAAACUUAAAUUCCUAUAGUUUUAGUUAGCAGAUAUUGUUCAUAUGUAUUUUGAUAAAACCACGAUAUAGAGUAAUUUUUCAUAUCUAGCUAAUGUUGAAACAUCUUUGUGCAUAUGGUGUCUAUUCAGUACGAAGGUCAUGCAAACAAAAGUAACAGAGGGCCGAGCAUAUGGGACACAUUUACUCAUGACUAUCCAGGUAUCUCAAGCAUAAAAAGUCUUUGGGAGGAAGGGAGACUGUGAUUAUGCAAUACCAUGGGCUAUUAUAGUCGGUUCUUAAUCUAUUAUUAUUUAUUAUAAUUUAGGGGGGAAUUGGCUAUUUUUGUUCUCCAGUAAGUUAUAUUUUUGGAGCUAUAUCAAUUAUAUACAGACUCUCAAACAAAUUAAUUUGAAAUGUUAUUUGGAUGAAACUUUGCAGCCAGAAUAAAAGAUCAUAGCACCGGUGAUGUUGCAAUUGAUUUCUACGAUCUCUACAAAGUAAGGAGUGCUUGACAAUGUUUUUGUUACAAAUGCUUUCUUGGUUCAGCACUUGGUAACAAUGAUUAUGGCAGGAUGAUAUUCGGAAGAUGAAGGACAUGCAUAUGGAUGCCUUUAGAUUCUCCAUCUCUUGGACGAGAGUGAUACCUAGUAAGUUUCUUAUGGCCUAGAUUAGUGGCAUGAGGCGUCAUUUAGGUAUACAAUGUUUGCUUAAUUUUUUUUAAUUAAUCACAUUUUAUUCUAAUGAUAUAUCUUUUAUAUAUGUGUUUGAAAUAGGUGGGCAGGUGCAAUGGGGAAUAAAUGAUGAGGGAAUCGAGUUCUACAACAACCUCAUUGAUGAAAUCAUAUUGAAUGGUUAGCACAUAUUAACUCUUAUUUCAAAAUGUUCGGAUUAUAUAUAUAUUUAUAUAGUUUUAUAAUUAAUUUCUUAUGAUCUACUUCAUAUAUACAGGACUUGUGCCUUAUGUGACUCUUUUUCAUUGGGACACUCCUCAAGCAUUGUUUGAUAAGUAUGGAGGUUUUCUAAAUGAAAGCAUUGUGUAAGUUUCAGAUUUAAUUUUUCAUUAAAAAUAUAAACACCAUUAGGAGUGUUUUUCAAGUAUUUGUAUUCGAAUGAAGUCAAGGAUUUUAACUUGCAUGAUGAUGAGUUUUUAUAUAUUAUCCAAUCGACAGCAAUGAUUUUCGAGAUUUUGCCGACUUGUGCUUUCAAAAGUUUGGUGAUCGGGUGAAGCACUGGUUUACUUUAAAUGAGCCAGACACUUACAGUGUUCAUGGCUUUGAUUCGGGCGUUGGUGCACCGGGACGAUGCUCGGCGUGGGUGGAUAAAGCAUGCCAAGCUGGAGACUCUGCUACUGAACCUUACAUCGUCACUCAUAAUUUGCUUCGUUCUCAUGCAGCAGCUGUAAAACUGUAUCGGGAAAAGUACCAGGUACGUUCGUAAUAUAGCAAAACUGAUGAACCAAAAAGAUUAAUCCAUGAAACAAUUACUGCUUAUCUACAGCAGUCGAGUGAGAUCUUCUUCCUCGUGUUGUCUUCUGUUGAGUCUUGUAAUAAUGGAUUGUACGUAGGAACAACAAAAUGGCAAGAUCGGCAUCACACUCUGUUCCUUUUGGUACGAACCUUAUUCAGAGACCCCAGCAGAUUAUGAGGCAGUUCAAAGAAUACUUGAUUUCAAUCUUGGAUGGUGAGUAUUUCUUACACUACUAUUGUUGAAGUCUUGAUACAACACAAAAUAAAAAUUGUCCAAAAAACUAAAAGAGAUUUUGAUGUUUCUAGGCACUUGAGCCCAGUCACUUAUGGUGACUAUCCAAGGAGCAUGAGAAGUUUAGUCGGAGAUCGAUUGCCGAAUUUCACUGCCCAGGAAAUCUUAGAUCUUCGAGGAUCUUAUGACAUUCUUGGAUUAAAUUACUAUGGUGCAUACUAUGCAAAAAAUCUUACCCAUGUUGAUCCUGAUCCAACUCACCUUCGUUAUGCAACAGAUUCUCAUGUCAAUCUUACUGGUAAACUCACAGUUAAAUUCAUAAUAAUUUGUGAAAUUGGAGAUAGAAUAUGGAAAGACAAUGAAUUAGCCAACUUAAAACUCUCUGAGAAAGAGAACCUGGACAGAAGUUUUAUGUUCAAAUUUUAUAAAAUAAUGAAAAGAGAAUUAAGAGUUCCUAGGGGAAAACUCAAGAAUAAAUUAAUUUUAAUUUGAGCUUAUUCAAGCUUAGUGCAUUACUAUUCAUCAUUUAUUUUCCUUCUUGUUUCACAGGAGAGAAAAAUGGAAAGCUAAUUGGACCGCAGGUUUGUGCGCAGUAAAACCUUGCUAUAAAAAUUAACAAUCAGAUACAUUACAUUAAUAUGAUUAAAUGCUGAUUAAUUAGUUAAUCACUAGAAAAACACAUAAUUAACACGGUGUUUCUGAACAUGUAUAGGCUGCUUCACCCUGGUUGUAUGUUUAUCCAAAAGGGAUACGAUAUCUUCUGAACUACACCAAGGAUCAAUACAGGAAUCCAACAAUUUAUAUAACUGAAAAUGGUAUGGAAAAUGUUAUCAAAUCUCAAUUUAAGUGUAGUUAAUUGUUAUAUUGUUAGACUAAUCGUGAUUUCUUCACUGUUUUGAUCUAUCAUCAGGAGUUUCUGAUUUCAACAACGGAUCCCAGAUAUCAUUGAAGACAGCACUUAAUGAUACUUGCAGGGCAAAAUACUAUCAUGACCAUCUCAAGAAUGUUCUACGCUCCAUUGAGUGAGUUUAAUCUCUCUCUCUCUCUCUCUCGCACACACAGCUAGCAACUGUCUACUAAUUUGACAGUCAAAAAUCUUGGCAGAAACUAUGGGACCAUUGUUAAAGGAUAUUUUGCAUGGACAUUUGCCGACGAUUUUGAAUGGCCGAAUGGUUAUACCAUAAGAUUUGGUCUCUACUACACUGAUUACCAGCAUAACUUGCAUAGAUACCCUAAGAGGUCAGUGCACUGGUUCACAAAUUUUUUGAAGGGAUACAAGUGGAACAAGGAACCAAUGUCGAGCUCUCCACUGCGUUUCUACAGUUCUGCUCCAAGUGAUCAUCAGUACCUGGAUGAGUGAAAAGUCAUUUUUAAAUAAUAACCUGGAUUGCAUAUCCAGUGAAUUAUAAGUUUGUGUUUAAUUAUUGUGCUUGUGUUUGAUGCUUCCAGCAUGGACUAGGAAUUAUCCCUUACCUAGUUUACCAUGACUGGAUUAAAAUUGUGAUGGGACUUAUAAU